RNAcentral lists this ribosomal RNA (440 nucleotides) under uncultured bacterium. Its description in RNAcentral is "partial 16S ribosomal RNA". It matches the Rfam family "Bacterial small subunit ribosomal RNA", at positions 338 to 795 of the family's 1533-position model. The record is from RNAcentral.
CCUACGGGUGGCAGCAGUGGGGAAUAUUGGACAAUGGGGGAAACCCUUAUCCAGCGACGCCGCGUGAGGGAAGAAGGUUUUCGGAUUGUAAACCUCUGUCAGUGGGGAAGAUAAUGACGGUACCUACGGAGGAAGCCACGGCUAACUACGUGCCAGCAGCCUCGGGAAUACGUAGGUGGCAAGCGUUGUACGGAUUUACUGGGUGUAAAGGGAGCGUAGGCGGUAUGUCAAGUAAGAAGUGAAAGUUAUGGGCUCAACACAUAAACUGCUAUUGAAACUGAUAGUCGUGAGUGAAGUAGAGGCAAGCGGAAUUCCUGGUGUAGCGGUGAAAUGCGUAGAUAUUAGGAGGAACACCAGUGGCGAAGGCGGCUUGCUGGGCUUUUACUGACGCUGAGGCUCGAAAGCGUGGGGAGCAAACAGGAUUAGAUACCCGGGUAGUC